GAGAUUUCUCUCUCUCUGCUUUUUCUCUCUAAUUUCUCUCUCUAGCUUUCUCUCUCUAAAACUUUGGCGGAUCAUAACUUUUGAUCCGUAACUCCGAUUCAGGAUCCGCGAAGGGCUAUGGAUUCGUCUUGAUGUCCUCUUUCUAUCCAUAGAUGUUUGAGUUAGAUCCAACCGUAAUUUCUAGAUGGCUCGUUUUAGGAGGCUAGGUUAACGAUCGGUAUUCUAGGAGGCGAUUCGUAUUAUCGAGAGAAGUACUUAGAUUUUGAUGAGCCAAAGUGGGUUGGACGAGCCUAGAAUGAAGAGUCUAGAAGGAAGAGCUUAUUUACAUUCUGCUUUAUAACACUCACACCUCAAAUUCGGGGUCAGGUGCUUAAAAUCCACCGACGUUGGGUCCGGCGUGUGACAACUAGCGACUUAUUCUUCUUGACAGAGCUUCUUGAUGGAGUCAACUCACUCCUUUUGAUGAAGCAUCAGCUCCUCCUCUUGACGGGGCGCCGCCGCCAGCGGAGCAUAAGCGUGCCUAUCAAUCUCCAUCAGCCAACUGUCACUCUUGACGGAGCAUCAGCGUCAGUCUUAUUGACGGAGCUUCAAUCCUUUGGACAGAGCAUCAAUUUUCUUAGCGGAGGUUCAAUCUCCCGGUUACCCAGAAAAAUACUAUGGACACCCGUGUUUAAUUCCUUAUUUGAGAACUGAGUUAAGCAUUCAUCUCUAAGAACUGCAGUUUCUUCCUUAUCUGCAAAUAAAUCAUGCUCCUCUCGGGUACUCACCAAAAAUAGAAGACGGAUCUUGACCCAGCUGCAACUAGCCUUGGCACCCAUCCAGGUAUUCGUACUUGAAAUAUUGGAGAGCUUUUCAAAGCUUUUCAGCUAAGCUGACAACGAGGGAAAAUUCUAUAAUACAUACCCAUAUGUUAUACACACAUUUAUGAAUGUGACAACAAAUUUGUGUCAAA
Long non-coding RNA from Rosa rugosa (rugosa rose), 952 nucleotides. RefSeq lists it as uncharacterized. The record is from RefSeq and is a predicted model, not a curated record. The transcript is spliced from 2 exons. Lineage: Eukaryota; Viridiplantae; Streptophyta; Magnoliopsida; Rosales; Rosaceae.